AUUCCAGCUCCAAUAGCGUAUAUUAAAGUUGUUGCAGUUAAAAAGCUCGUAGUUGAACUUUUGGUGAGGCGCUGUGGUUUAGCAUUUGCUGGACUGCAGUGCUGAGCCUCUUUUGGGGGAAACGUCACUUGUGGCGGCGAACCCGUGUUACUGUGAGGAAAUUAGAGUGUUUAAAGCAGGCGAUCGCUUGAAUACAUUAGCAUGGAAUAACAAGAUAGGACUUGGUUCUACUUGUUGGUUUGGGAGCCAAAGUAAUGAUUAAUAGGGCCAGUUGGGGGCAUUAGUAUUCAGCAGUCAGAGGUGAAAUUCUUGGAUUUGCUGAAGACUAACUAGUGCGAAAGCAUUUGCCAAGGAUGUUUUCAUUAAUCAAGAACGAAAGUUAGGGGAUCGAAGACGAUCAGAUACCGUCGUAGUCUUAACUAUAAACGAUGCCGACUCGGGAUCGGCAGGAUUCGUUCGCGAACCUGUCGGCACCGUGUGAGAAAUCAAAGUUUUUGGGUUCUGGGGGGAGUAUGGUCGCAAGGCUGAAACUUAAAGGAAUUGACGGAAGGGCACCACCAGGAGUGGAGCCUGCGGCUUAAUUUGACUCAACACGGGAAAACUCACCAGGUCCGGACAUAGUAAGGAUUGACAGAUUGAGAGCUCUUUCUUGAUUCUGUGGGUGGUGGUGCAUGGCCGUUCUUAGUUGGUGGAGUGAUUUGUCUGGUUAAUUCCGAUAACGAACGAGACCUUAACCUGCUAACUAGAGCACAUUACGUGAGUAGUGUGUUACUUCUUAGAGGGACUGACUAUGUUUAAUAGUCGGAAGUUUGAGGCAAUAA
Molecule: ribosomal RNA, 821 nt
Filed under: uncultured eukaryote
Lineage: Eukaryota
Description: SSU rRNA
Rfam family: Eukaryotic small subunit ribosomal RNA
Source: RNAcentral